GCCACGGUGGUCUAGCGGUUAGAACGCUGGCCUUGUAAUCCUGAGAUCUCGGGUUCGAUUCCCGGCGGUGCCC
Molecule: non-coding RNA, 73 nt
Organism: Zootermopsis nevadensis
Lineage: Eukaryota; Metazoa; Arthropoda; Insecta; Blattodea; Termopsidae
Source: Rfam